Octodon degus (degu) is the source of this 188-nucleotide small nuclear RNA. Its record names the gene U2. It matches the Rfam family "U2 spliceosomal RNA". From Rfam's summary of the family: U2 is a small nuclear RNA (snRNA) component of the spliceosome (involved in pre-mRNA splicing). Complementary binding between U2 snRNA (in an area lying towards the 5' end but 3' to hairpin I) and the branchpoint sequence (BPS) of the intron results the bulging out of an unpaired adenosine, on the BPS, which initiates a nucleophilic attack at the intronic 5' splice site, thus starting the first of two transesterification reactions that mediate splicing. NCBI's taxonomy places the organism in Eukaryota, Metazoa, Chordata, Mammalia, Rodentia, Octodontidae. The record is from Ensembl.
GUAGCUGCUCUACCUUUUGGCCAAGAUCAAAUGUAGCAUCUAUUCUUGUCUGUUUAGCCUCUGACGUAUUUCCUCUCCAAGGACAAUGUAUUAAAUGGACAUUUGGAGCAGAGAUGCGAUAGGAGCCUGGCCCCCCUCUCCAUGCACAGACCUGGCACUGCAUGACUCCCAGUGAUGGCACACCUCUU